Manis javanica (Malayan pangolin) is the source of this 583-nucleotide long non-coding RNA. RefSeq lists it as uncharacterized. The record is from RefSeq and is a predicted model, not a curated record. Lineage: Eukaryota; Metazoa; Chordata; Mammalia; Pholidota; Manidae.
GCGAGCGACAGUCGCCGGGGUACGCGCGCAGGCGCCCUAGGCGGCGAGAGGAAAGAGCGUCCGGAGCCCACCAGGGAGCGGUCUCGGACAGGAGCUCCAAGUGGUGGAGAAGAAUUUUGAAAGUGUUCCUGGGCCAACAGAAACCAGCCUGAUUCAAGCAUUGUCAUGGUCACCCCACUGCCCUGUGGCCUGGACUUUUAGCCUGCAGGUGAACCAGACCCAGCCACAAGACUCAGGACACUAGGAAGCAUGAGUAUCUUGGAAGACUAUAAAUCACAAACAUAGAGAUUAUUUAACUCGUUUGUUUGCUCAACAACUAUUUGUGGUCCUUAACCAGACCAGGCCUAUGCUGAAAUCCAACAUAACGAAGCUUUAUUCUCUGCUCUCCAGGACAGCUCAGUGUUUAGCAGAGUGCCAGGUUCAUGGAUACCAACUAGUGUUUAAAGGCCAUCUUACAUUAACAGAUGAACUCUGGAAAGAUCAGUCAAGAGCAAGAAAACUAUCAAAGCAGGUGAUGCAAGAAUGAAGCUGACUCAGAAACACCCAAUCCCCUCAAGAACAUCUCCAAGAAAUGGAUUGGCCA